RNAcentral lists this transfer RNA (72 nucleotides) under Ovis aries (sheep). It matches the Rfam family "tRNA". Rfam says of the family: Transfer RNA (tRNA) molecules are approximately 80 nucleotides in length. Their secondary structure includes four short double-helical elements and three loops (D, anti-codon, and T loops). The record is from Rfam by way of RNAcentral. Lineage: Eukaryota; Metazoa; Chordata; Mammalia; Artiodactyla; Bovidae.
CCCUCAGUCGCUCAGAUGGUAAAGCGUCUGCUUACAAUGCGGGAGACCCGGGUUCGAUCCCUGGGUGGGGGA